UGGGAUGUGGCUCAGUGGUAGAGUGCACACCUAGUAUGCAUGAGGCACUGGGUUUGAUCCUCAACACCACAU
RNAcentral lists this transfer RNA (72 nucleotides) under Marmota monax (woodchuck). RNAcentral describes it as "tRNA.Thr". The record is from RNAcentral. Lineage: Eukaryota; Metazoa; Chordata; Mammalia; Rodentia; Sciuridae.